GUGAUUACCUCCUACUGCCACCAUGGCG
This 28-nucleotide non-coding RNA is filed under the name Homo sapiens (human). The record is from RNAcentral. Lineage: Eukaryota; Metazoa; Chordata; Mammalia; Primates; Hominidae.